UACGUAGGUGGCAAGCGUUGUCCGGAUUUAUUGGGUUUAAAGGGUGCGUAGGCGGUUCUUUAAGUCAGUGCUGAAAUACUCCAGCUUAACUGGAGGGGUGGCAUUGAUACUGGGGGACUUGAAUGAAGUCGAGGUAGGCGGAAUUGACGGUGUAGCGGUGAAAUGCUUAGAUAUCGUCAAGAACACCGAUAGUGAAGACAGCUUACUAGGCUUAUAUUGACGCUGAGGCACGAAAGUGUGGGGAUCAAACAGG
This 253-nucleotide ribosomal RNA is filed under the name uncultured bacterium. RNAcentral describes it as "partial 16S ribosomal RNA". It matches the Rfam family "Bacterial small subunit ribosomal RNA", at positions 524 to 776 of the family's 1533-position model. The record is from RNAcentral.